GAUGAACGCUGGCGGCGUGCCUAAUACAUGCAAGUCGAGCGAACAGACGAGGAGCUUGCUCCUCUGACGUUAGCGGCGGACGGGUGAGUAACACGUGGAUAACCUACCUCUAAGACUGGGAUAACUUCGGGAAACCGGAGCUAAUACCGGAUAAUAUAUUGAACCGCAUGGUUCAAUAGUUCAAGACGGUUUUGCUGUCACUUAUAGCUGGAUCCGCGCCGCAUUAGCUAGUUGGUAAGGUAACGGCUUACCAAGGCGACGAUGCGUAGCCGACCUGAGAGGGUGAUCGGCCACACUGGAACUGAGACACGGUCCAGACUCCUACGGGAGGCAGCAGUAGGGAAUCUUCCGCAAUGGGCGAAAGCCUGACGGAGCAACGCCGCGUGAGUGAUGAAGGUCUUCGGAUCGUAAAACUCUGUUAUUAGGGAAGAACAAAUGUGUAAGUAACUAUGCACGUCUUGACGGUACCUAAUCAGAAAGCCACGGCUAACUACGUG
This 497-nucleotide ribosomal RNA is filed under the name uncultured bacterium. Its description in RNAcentral is "partial 16S ribosomal RNA". It matches the Rfam family "Bacterial small subunit ribosomal RNA", at positions 28 to 507 of the family's 1533-position model. The record is from RNAcentral.